GGGGAUUUAGCUCAGUGGUAGAGCACUUGCCUAGCAAGCGCAAGGCGCUGGGUUCGGUCCCCAGCUCCA
Molecule: non-coding RNA, 69 nt
Organism: Rattus norvegicus (Norway rat)
Lineage: Eukaryota; Metazoa; Chordata; Mammalia; Rodentia; Muridae
Source: Rfam